Molecule: ribosomal RNA, 385 nt
Filed under: uncultured bacterium
Lineage: Bacteria
Description: bacterial SSU rRNA
Rfam family: Bacterial small subunit ribosomal RNA
Source: RNAcentral
UAGGGAAUAUUGCGCAAUGGGGGAAACCCUGACGCAGCAACGCCGCGUGAGUGAGGAAGGUCUUCGGAUUGUAAAACUCUUUUCUUAGAGAAAAAUGUCUUUGUGGCUAACAUCCACAGAGAGUGAUGGUAUCUAAGGAAUAAGCACCGGCUAACUUCGUGCCAGCAGCCGCGGUAAUACGAAGGGUGCAAGCGUUGUUCGGAAUUAUUGGGCGUAAAGCGCGCGCAGGCGGAUUUGCAAGUCAGAUGUGAAAUCUCGGAGCUCGACUCCGAAACUGCGUCUGAAACUACGAGUCUAGAAUGUCGGAGGGGGCAGGGGAAUUUCACGUGUAGGGGUAAAAUCCGUAGAGAUGUGAAGGAACACCGGAGGCGAAGGCGCCUGCCUG